RNAcentral lists this ribosomal RNA (253 nucleotides) under uncultured bacterium. RNAcentral's name for it is "partial 16S ribosomal RNA". It matches the Rfam family "Bacterial small subunit ribosomal RNA", at positions 524 to 776 of the family's 1533-position model. The record is from RNAcentral.
UACGGAGGUCUCAAGCGUUGUUCGGAUUCAUUGGGCGUAAAGGGUGCGUAGGUGGCGGGGUAAGUCUGGUGUGAAAUCUCGGGGCUCAACCCCGAAACUGCACUGGAUACUGCCUUGCUCGAGUACUGGAGAGGAGAUUGGAAUUUACGGUGUAGCAGUGAAAUGCGUAGAUAUCGUAAGGAAGACCAGUGGCGAAGGCGAAUCUCUGGACAGUUACUGACACUGAGGCACGAAGGCCAGGGGAGCAAACGGG